This 460-nucleotide ribosomal RNA is filed under the name uncultured bacterium. Its description in RNAcentral is "bacterial SSU rRNA". It matches the Rfam family "Bacterial small subunit ribosomal RNA", at positions 28 to 486 of the family's 1533-position model. The record is from RNAcentral.
GACGAACGCUGGCGGCGUGCCUAACACAUGCAAGUCGAACGAAGCUUGAUUUCUGAUUUUUUCGGAAUGACGAAUGAUAUGACUGAGUGGCGGACGGGUGAGUAACGCGUGAGCAACCUGCCCUUCGGAACGGGAUAGUGUCUGGAAACGGACAGUAAUACCGUAUAACAUAUAUUGAUCGCAUGGUCGAUAUAUCAAAACUGAGGUGCCGAAGGAUGGGCUCGCGUCUGAUUAGAUAGUUGGUGGGGUAACGGCCUACCAAGUCGACGAUCAGUAGCCGGACUGAGAGGUUGAACGGCCACAUUGGGACUGAGACACGGCCCAGACUCCUACGGGAGGCAGCAGUGGGGAGUAUUGCACAAUGGGGGAAACCCUGAUGCAGCAACGCCGCGUGAAGGAAGACGGUUUUCGGAUUGUAAACUUCUGUUCUUAGUGAAGAAUAAUGACGGUAGCUAAGGAG